AGAAUCAACGCUGGCGGCGUGCCUAACACAUGCAAGUCGCACGAGAAAGGGACUUCGGUCCUGAGUACAGUGGCGCACGGGUGAGUAACACGUGAAUCAUCUACCUCCGAGUGGGGAAUAACCUAGAGAAAUCUGGGCUAAUACCGCAUAACACUUACGAGUCAAAGCAGCAAUGCGCUUGGAGAGGAGUUCGCGGCAGAUUAGUUAGUUGGCGGGGUAAUGGCCCACCAAGACUAUGAUCGGUA
This 245-nucleotide ribosomal RNA is filed under the name uncultured bacterium. RNAcentral's name for it is "partial small subunit ribosomal RNA". It matches the Rfam family "Bacterial small subunit ribosomal RNA", at positions 26 to 285 of the family's 1533-position model. The record is from RNAcentral.